AGGCUGGUGAUCCCAACUUUUGAAACAUCCUUAGUAGGAUUUGGUUUGAAUAUACCAGGGACCAUUCUUCGUUUCCGGCUUUCACUCACUCAACAAAUACAAAUUCGCUACUUGGCAUGGUAUGGUUGAGAGCUAAAUGACUGAUGCCACACCGAUUAGUUUAACGAUCCUAGGGAAACAGCCAAAAAAGAGAACCAGGCACAGUACUGUUAUAAUUAACUAAUCUAGUAGCCUACCUGCAUCCUCAGCAUCUAGAAUAUUUGCACUAAGAUUGGUGAGUGUGUAAAUUUCGUUAGUGAAUACCCGAUCAAGAAAUGAAACUAAAAAAUUGUCGUUCUUCAAAAAUCCCAUCUUUCUAAUUGUA
Molecule: non-coding RNA, 364 nt
Organism: Physcomitrium patens
Lineage: Eukaryota; Viridiplantae; Streptophyta; Bryopsida; Funariales; Funariaceae
Source: RefSeq, a predicted model, not a curated record